This is a long non-coding RNA of Triticum dicoccoides, 165 nucleotides long. RefSeq lists it as uncharacterized. The transcript is spliced from 3 exons. The record is from RefSeq and is a predicted model, not a curated record. Lineage: Eukaryota; Viridiplantae; Streptophyta; Magnoliopsida; Poales; Poaceae.
AUGUUUUUGAACUGUGUUUCACAUGGAACUAUUGAUGUUGUUCUGAACAAAGAAAAAAGUUUGCUUGGUAGGGUUUGAGUCCUUGUUAUUAUGAAAUUUAUAUUUCAGCAUCUUGAGAACUAUGACAUUUUAAACUCCUAGAACUUAUGAAGCAGAAUAAUAUUU